GACAGAGGGUGCAAACGUUGCUCGGAAUUACUGGGCGUAAAGCGCGUGUAGGCGGUCACGCAAGUCAGGUGUGAAAGCCCUGGGCUCAACCCAGGAAGUGCACAUGAUACUACGUGGCUGGAGUACUGAAGAGGAGAGCGGAAUUCCCGGUGUAGAGGUGAAAUUCGUAGAUAUCGCUUGGAACGCCAAAGGUGAAAACAGGUUGCUGGGGUUGUGCCGACGCUGAGACACGAAAGCCAGGGGAGCAAACGGG
This 253-nucleotide ribosomal RNA is filed under the name uncultured bacterium. RNAcentral describes it as "partial 16S ribosomal RNA". It matches the Rfam family "Bacterial small subunit ribosomal RNA", at positions 524 to 776 of the family's 1533-position model. The record is from RNAcentral.